UGCAAGUGUUAUGGCUCAAAAGAUUCAAUUUAAUACAUAUGGUGGAAACCCUGUUUGCUCUGCUGGUGGACAUGCAGUACUUAAAGUUAUUGAGAAGGAACAACGCCAAAAGCAUUGUGCUGAGGUUGGCUCACACUUGUUUGGGCGGCUGAGGGAUCUAGAGAAAAGAUACGACAUAAUUGGAGAUGUGAGAGGCAGAGGUUUGAUGGUUGGUAUUGAACUGGUAACUGACAGAAAAGAGAAGACACCCGCCAAGGCAGAAACUGGAGUUCUCUUUGAGAAGCUUAAAGAUCUUGGUGUUCUAGUAGGGAAAGGUGGUAUACAUGGAAAUGUUUUCAGAAUAAAGCCUCCCAUGUGUUUCAGCAAGGAUGAUGCAGAUUUCCUAGUUGAUGCACUGGACUAUUCUCUUUCAAAGUUGUGAGCAUAUGGCAUAUUGUUGUGAGAUUGCUCAGUUGAUUCUCUUUCAACCAUAGGACACAGCAAUGUUAAACAAAAGCAGCUUCUAUCGUCUUAUGUUAUUCCUCACCACAUUUCAACUUCUUUUUUUUAUCAAA
RNAcentral lists this unclassified non-coding RNA (554 nucleotides) under Hevea brasiliensis (rubber tree). Lineage: Eukaryota; Viridiplantae; Streptophyta; Magnoliopsida; Malpighiales; Euphorbiaceae. The record is from RNAcentral.